This 105-nucleotide small nuclear RNA is filed under the name Dasypus novemcinctus (nine-banded armadillo). Lineage: Eukaryota; Metazoa; Chordata; Mammalia; Cingulata; Dasypodidae. The record is from RNAcentral.
UUGCUUCAGCAGCAGCACAUGUACUAAAAUUGGGAUGAUACAGAGAAGAUUAACAUGGCCCCUGAGCAAGAUGACAUGCAAAUUCGUGAAGUGUUCCAUAUUUAA